Molecule: ribosomal RNA, 491 nt
Filed under: uncultured bacterium
Lineage: Bacteria
Description: partial 16S ribosomal RNA
Rfam family: Bacterial small subunit ribosomal RNA
Source: RNAcentral
GUGAACGCUGGCGGUAGGCCUAACACAUGCAAGUCGAACGGCAGCACAGUAAGAGCUUGCUCUUACGGGUGGCGAGUGGCGGACGGGUGAGGAAUACAUCGGAAUCUACUUUUUCGUGGGGGAUAACGUAGGGAAACUUACGCUAAUACCGCAUACGGCCUACGGGUGAAAGCAGGGGAUCUUCGGACCUUGCGCGAUUGAAUGAGCCGAUGUCGGAUUAGCUAGUUGGCGGGGUAAAGGCCCACCAAGGCGACGAUCCGUAGCUGGUCUGAGAGGAUGAUCAGCCACACUGGAACUGAGACACGGUCCAGACUCCUACGGGAGGCAGCAGUGGGGAAUAUUGGACAAUGGGCGCAAGCCUGAUCCAGCCAUACCGCGUGGGUGAAGAAGGCCUUCGGGUUGUAAAGCCCUUUUGUUGGGAAAGAAAAGCAGCAGGUUAAUACCCCGCUGUUCUGACGGUACCCAAAGAAUAAGCACCGGCUAACUUCGUG